CAGAGAUAUAGAUAAGAGAUGAUGGUAUAUGUGAAAACAGAAAAAUAUGCUGGCAAAAGAAAAAAGGAGGCUGGAGGAGAUAAUACAAUCACAGAUUCCUGGAAUGAAUCGAAAUGCAAGUAGAAAAAAGAAGAAGAUGAUUGAUCUGGAUCUCAAUGUUGUUGCAGAUGCCUCUGAAAUGACCGAAUAAAUUGGACUCGUUAUAUAUUAUUAUUAUCAUUAUCAUUAUUAAUAAUAAAACUUAUCAUUUAUGUAAAAUAACCCCGGCCCGGCCCGGUCCGGUCCAACCCGGCCCGACCCCACCGCCCCCCACAGCAUCUUAACAAAAACAGGGUAGAAAAUAAAAAAGUCUGUUAAUUGAUCAAUUAAUGGGAUAUCUCUACCUUGUGUAUUUGGGAAUUGUAAUUUUAUCUCAUAAGAGAUAAUUGCACUACUUAUCCCACAUAACUGUUUCAAUGUUGUUUGAUUUUUUAUUUUAUUUUUUACCCUACUUUAAUAAUGUUAAAGCUUAGUUUUGAUUAUUGAUU
Erythranthe guttata (spotted monkey flower) is the source of this 527-nucleotide non-coding RNA. Lineage: Eukaryota; Viridiplantae; Streptophyta; Magnoliopsida; Lamiales; Phrymaceae. The record is from RefSeq and is a predicted model, not a curated record.